UAGGGAAUCUUCCACAAUGGACGCAAGUCUGAUGGAGCAACGCCGCGUGAGUGAAGAAGGUCUUCGGAUCGUAAAGCUCUGUUGUUGGUGAAGAAGGAUAGAGGCAGUAACUGGUCUUUAUUUGACGGUAAUCAACCAGAAAGUCACGGCUAACUACGUGCCAGCAGCCGCGGUAAUACGUAGGUGGCAAGCGUUGUCCGGAUUUAUUGGGCGUAAAGCGAGCGCAGGCGGAAUGAUAAGUCUGAUGUGAAAGCCCACGGCUCAACCGUGGAACUGCAUCGGAAACUGUCAUUCUUGAGUGCAGAAGAGGAGAGUGGAACUCCAUGUGUAGCGGUGGAAUGCGUAGAUAUAUGGAAGAACACCAGUGGCGAAGGCGGCUCUCUGGUCUGCAACUGACGCUGAGGCUCGAAAGCAUGGGUAGCGAACAGGAUUAGAUACCCUGGUAGUCCAUGCCGUAAACGAUGAGCGCUAGGUGUUGGGGACUUUCCGCCCUUCAGUGCUGCAGCUAACGCAUUAAGUAUUCCGCCUGGGGAGUACGACCGCAAGGUUGAAAC
This 554-nucleotide ribosomal RNA is filed under the name uncultured bacterium. RNAcentral's name for it is "partial 16S ribosomal RNA". It matches the Rfam family "Bacterial small subunit ribosomal RNA", at positions 355 to 900 of the family's 1533-position model. The record is from RNAcentral.